UACGUAGGGGGCGAGCGUUGUCCGGAUUUAUUGGGCGUAAAGCGCUCGCAGGCGGCCCGAUGCGUCGGGCGUGAAACACCCCGGCUCAACUGGGGAGGGUCGUGCGAUACGGUCGGGCUUGAGGCCAGUAGGGGGAUGCGGAAUUCCGGGUGUAGUGGUGGAAUGCGUAGAGACCCGGAGGAACACCAGCGGCGAAGGCGGCAUCCUGGACUGGUACUGACGCUCAUGAGCGAAAGCGUGGGGAGCGAUCCGG
This 253-nucleotide ribosomal RNA is filed under the name uncultured bacterium. Its description in RNAcentral is "partial 16S ribosomal RNA". It matches the Rfam family "Bacterial small subunit ribosomal RNA", at positions 524 to 776 of the family's 1533-position model. The record is from RNAcentral.